This 255-nucleotide ribosomal RNA is filed under the name Clostridioides difficile. RNAcentral describes it as "partial 23S ribosomal RNA". It matches the Rfam family "Bacterial large subunit ribosomal RNA", at positions 534 to 788 of the family's 2925-position model. The record is from RNAcentral. Lineage: Bacteria; Bacillati; Bacillota; Clostridia; Peptostreptococcales; Peptostreptococcaceae.
GGGAGUGAAAUAGAACCUGAAACCCUGCACUUACAAGCUGUGGAAGCACAUUUCUUGUGUGACCGCGUACUUUUUGUAGAACGGGCCAACGAGUUACGUUAAGUAGCAAGGUUAAGCACUUAAGGUGCGGAGCCGUAGCGAAAGCGAGUUUUAACUGAGCGUUCAGUUACUUGACGUAGACCCGAAACCGGGCGACCUACCCAUGAGCAGGAUGAAGCGAAAGUAAAAUUUCGUGGAGGUCCGAACCCACGAGCG